This is a small nuclear RNA of Microtus ochrogaster (prairie vole), 106 nucleotides long. Lineage: Eukaryota; Metazoa; Chordata; Mammalia; Rodentia; Cricetidae. The record is from Ensembl.
GUGCUUGCUUAGGCAGUAUAUAGACUAAAAUUGGAAUUACACAGAGAAAUUUAGUAUGAUCCUUGUGCAAGCAUGACAUACAGAUUCAUUAUCACUCCACGUUUUU